CCUACGGGAGGCAGCAGUCGGGAAUAUUGCACAAUGGAGGAAACUCUGAUGCAGUGACGCCGCGUGCAGGAAGAAGGUUUUCGGAUUGUAAACUGCUUUAGACAGGGAAGAAACAAGACAGUACCUGUAGAAUAAGCUCCGGCUAACUACGUGCCAGCAGCCGCGGUAAUACGUAGGGAGCAAGCGUUAUCCGGAUUUAUUGGGUGUAAAGGGUGCGUAGACGGGUAUAUAAGUUAGUUGUGAAAUCCCUCGGCUCAACUGAGGAACUGCAACUAAAACUGUAAAUCUUGAGUGCGGGAGAGGAAAGUGGAAUUCCUAGUGUAGCGGUGAAAUGCGUAGAUAUUAGGAGGAACACCAGUGGCGAAGGCGACUUUCUGGACCGUAACUGACGUUGAGGCACGAAAGUGUGGGGAGCAAACAGGAUUAGAUACCCGGGUA
This 438-nucleotide ribosomal RNA is filed under the name uncultured bacterium. Its description in RNAcentral is "bacterial SSU rRNA". It matches the Rfam family "Bacterial small subunit ribosomal RNA", at positions 338 to 792 of the family's 1533-position model. The record is from RNAcentral.